CACAUGCAAGUCGAGGGGCAGCAUGUUGGUUGCUUGCAACCAAUGAUGGCGACCGGCGCACGGGUGAGUAACGCGUAUCCAACCUACCCUUGUCCAUCGGAUAACCCGUCGAAAGGCGGCCUAACACGAUAUGCGGUUCUCAGCAGGCAUCUAACGAGAACGAAAUGUGAAGGAGAAGGAUGGGGAUGCGUCUGAUUAGCUUGUUGGCGGGGUAACGGCCCACCAAGGCGACGAUCAGUAGGGGUUCUGAGAGGAAGGUCCCCCACAUUGGAACUGAGACACGGUCCAAACUCCUACGGGAGGCAGCAGUGAGGAAUAUUGGUCAAUGGACGAGAGUCUGAACCAGCCAAGUAGCGUGCAGGAAGACGGCCCUAUGGGUUGUAAACUGCUUUUAUAGGGGGAUAGAGUGUGCCACGUGUGGCAUAUUGCAGGUACCCUAUGAAUAAGGACCGGCUAAUUCCGUGCCAGCAGCCGCGGUAAUACGGAAGGUCCAGGCGUUAUCCGGAUUUAUUGGGUUUAAAGGGAGCGUAGGCCGUUUGGUAAGCGUGUUGUGAAAUGUCGGGGCUCAACCUGGGCAUUGCAGCGCGAACUGCCAGACUUGAGUGCGCAGGAAGUAGGCGGAAUUCGUCGUGUAGCGGUGAAAUGCUUAGAUAUGACGAAGAACUCCGAUUGCGAAGGCAGCCUGCUGUAGCGCAACUGACGCUGAAGCUCGAAAGCGUGGGUAUCGAACAGGAUUAGAUACCCUGGUAGUCCACGCGGUAAACGAUGGAUGCUCGCUGUUUGCGUCUGACGUAAGCGGCCAAGCGAAAGCGUUAAGCAUCCCA
RNAcentral lists this ribosomal RNA (824 nucleotides) under uncultured bacterium. RNAcentral's name for it is "bacterial SSU rRNA". It matches the Rfam family "Bacterial small subunit ribosomal RNA", at positions 52 to 871 of the family's 1533-position model. The record is from RNAcentral.